CGGAAACAAAAAAACUGAUGUGGAGGGCUAAAAAUCUGACGUGGAGGGGUUUUCUGAGUUUUCCACCCUUUAUAAUAACGAACCAAACAGCCCCUUAACAAAUAUGUGGAGAAGCUGUGAUGAUUUGCCAACAGAAGUGUGAAUUAUGUCGGUUUUGGUGUAGGGUUAGGAUUAGUAUUUUUGUUUAGGGUUUAGGUGAUUAUUUAUCAAAUUCUCUCUUUCUGUCUCUGCAGCUUUCUACUGUGAUGGCGAGGCAAUUGUUGAAAAUAUAUCAUGUUGUUAACUUUGCAGCCAUUUUCUAGAUCUGCAGAUCUAAAGAGUGGAAAGAGUUGGUUUUUCCUAGCAAAUCUAUUUUCUCAUAAAAGGGCGAAUCUGAGCUCUCCACCAACUUUUCACGAUUUCUCUUUUUAUUUUUCUUUGUUUUUCUGUGAGUAACCCAUUUUCUUGACCACCCAUAAUGAGUUUUGAUUUUAAUCAACAAAGUGUCAGCGACAGAGUGGCCCCCUCCAAUCCUAGCCCCGAAAGCCUAAUUCUUGAGCCAAAGCUCAAAGCCCAUAAGCCAUAGGCCUUUGGCCUCUCUGAAGUUUGAAUCCUGGCUACGCUCUUGUAAGUGUAAUUUUCAUUCUCAUUUUAGACCAAGAAGUGUUUUUGUUGGAGCUAUGUCAUUAAUUCAGUCUACAGCCUGAUGUCAGGUUUUUUUUAUUUAAUACAUUUCUUUAUUUCUGUCUAACAGCGCAGUGAACUCUUCCUACAGACGAUUGCCACUGUAAGUAAUCAUACCAAAAAUUAUUGCUAAAGACUUAUAAUGUAUCCUUAAUUUUCACAUUAGUUCAUUUGCAAACAGGAUAAUACAUUUUAAAACUUUCUCAUGUCUGGUUUCUUAACAUUAUAUAGGCACAAAAAUUAGAUUGCGAAGGUGAAUGUUUCUCGCAGUAUUUACUAGUGAACAUUAUCAUCUGCAGGCUAUUAUUAGCUAAUGAUAAGGGUUAAGAAAAUGAAUGACGUUCAGAAUAUGCCCAACUAUAGUAUCACUUCCAUUUUCCUUCUGGAGUUGUUAAAUCAGACGGAAGAAUUUCAUUAUGUGGAAAUGUAGUUGCGGAUAAAAGGUGCUUUUAUAUUGGAUUAAAAUAAAUACUUCUCAGGUGUCUUGACUUGGGCUGAAUGGAGGCUAGUCAGUUGAUGUUUGGUGGUAGUUUGAUCAUGUUGAAGUUUUGGCUAUUCAACGAUAUGCAUACGGGCGAUCAUAAUAUUUGUGUUUUCUUAGCUACAUCCUUGGCCUAAAUGCUGUAGGAACUUUCUUUUUCCAAUCACUUUGACCUAUGUCUGCUGGCUAUGUGGGGGAGGAGGUCCAAUAGCUUCAAAUGCCACACAAUCUUUUUUCUGCUGUAAAGAGAAGCUGUGCAAGUACUCUGUCGGCUUUAUACAUGCUAAAUUGUCAUGCAAAUUAACUCAAAAGAACGUGAACUCUAGGCUUAUGGUGUAUUCAUUUAUAAUGGCCAGAUUUAUUGUGAGAUGGUAUUUAUUUGCUCCUCAAAAUGGUAUUUGAUGCAACUGAAUUCA
Long non-coding RNA from Asparagus officinalis (garden asparagus), 1560 nucleotides. RefSeq lists it as uncharacterized. The transcript is spliced from 3 exons. NCBI's taxonomy places the organism in Eukaryota, Viridiplantae, Streptophyta, Magnoliopsida, Asparagales, Asparagaceae. The record is from RefSeq and is a predicted model, not a curated record.